Molecule: ribosomal RNA, 492 nt
Filed under: uncultured bacterium
Lineage: Bacteria
Description: partial 16S ribosomal RNA
Rfam family: Bacterial small subunit ribosomal RNA
Source: RNAcentral
AGUGAACGCUGGCGGUAGGCCUAACACAUGCAAGUCGAACGGCAGCACAGUAAGAGCUUGCUCUUACGGGUGGCGAGUGGCGGACGGGUGAGGAAUACAUCGGAAUCUACUUUUUCGUGGGGGAUAACGUAGGGAAACUUACGCUAAUACCGCAUACGACCUACGGGUGAAAGCAGGGGAUCUUCGGACCUUGCGCGAUUGAAUGAGCCGAUGUCGGAUUAGCUAGUUGGCGGGGUAAAGGCCCACCAAGGCGACGAUCCGUAGCUGGUCUGAGAGGAUGAUCAGCCAAACUGGAACUGAGACACGGAAAAGACUACUACGGGAGGCAGCAGUGGGGAAUAUUGGACAAUGGGCGCAAGCCUGAUCCAGCAAUACCGCGUGGGUGAAGAAGGCCUUCGGGUUGUAAAGCCCUUUUGUUGGGAAAGAAAAGCAGCAGGUUAAUACCCCGCUGUUCUGACGGUACCCAAAGAAUAAGCACCGGCUAACUUCGUG